This is a long non-coding RNA of Mauremys mutica (yellowpond turtle), 1087 nucleotides long. RefSeq lists it as uncharacterized. Lineage: Eukaryota; Metazoa; Chordata; Testudines; Geoemydidae. The transcript has 3 exons. The record is from RefSeq and is a predicted model, not a curated record.
GUAAAGAACGGUUACUUACCUUAAAGUUACUGUGAUUCUUUUCAGAUCUUUUGUCUACAUGAUUCCACACUUGGUCUGCAUACAUUCCAUCCAUGAAAUUGGAUUCUUUUGGCCAGCAGCAUCCAAUGGGGCUGCACCAGUGCCCUAGAUGUCCUUGCAUCUCCCUACCCGAGGACAUAUAGAAUGGAGUGGGCCUAACUGUUGCUUAGUUCUUUCACCAAUACAGAAAUCCAGAACAGUAGGACUCCAUAGUUACAGGGAAGGAAGGCAGGUCAUGGUACCCCAUUUGGAGAACACAUUUUGAAGAACCAGAAUUACCAUAAGUCAUUUUAGGAGGUGAUCCUGGAAUUUUGGACCUUUCAUGCACUCAAGACACUCAGGAAUUUGACUUAGAAAUAUGGUCAGCCUCAGGAGCACUUGAAACAAGCCUCUGCAUGGUGUACCAAGGUGAAAUGAUCAUGUAUGCUGUGGUUAGAUGCAUCUUCCACAAGAAAGCCAGUAUUCACGUCUAUCUACUGAUAAUGCACUGGUCAUAAUGACAUAGAAACUGAAUUUUGAUUUGGCAUGUCAAUGCUGAUAAAAACAACUUUGCACACCCUUAUGACCAGGAGACAAUGUGCUUUGCUUGGAAUAUCUUUCGAGUUGGAUUGCAAUGGGUUGGUGGUCACUUGCUUGGGCUUCUGAGAUAGGCAUCUAUUGCUGCUCAUACAGUAGUAACAGCAAAUAUAAGAUUACCCCAGCAGAGUGAGGGCAAUGUCACAGAGCAAUGCUCAUAAGGUUGAAUUAAUCCCCGGUGUAACUCCAUUAAUUUAAAUGAAGUUACAUCAGGGAUGAGUUUGGUCCAUUUCUGCAUUCUGAGUUCCUGGGUAGACCCUCAGCCUCUACCCUCCCAUUAGGAGGGAGGUGACCACAAGACCAUUGCAUCAGACCCACCACUCUCUUCCAGUACCUCCAGGGAUGAAAACGGAAGAUCUUCAGCUUCCCUUCUUUUGAUCUAUAGCAGGGGUGGCCAAACUGUGGUUCGCAAGCCACAUGUGAGCCACACUUUAAUGGUAAAAGAGCGCAAGCCACCUCUGCCCCCCCCAUU